AUUGAACGCUGGCGGCAGGCCUAACACAUGCAAGUCGAGCGGCAGCGGGAAAGUAGCUUGCUACUUUUGCCGGCGAGCGGCGGACGGGUGAGUAAUGCCUGGGAAAUUGCCCAGUCGAGGGGGAUAACAGUUGGAAACGACUGCUAAUACCGCAUACGCCCUACGGGGGAAAGCAGGGGACCUUCGGGCCUUGCGCGAUUGGAUAUGCCCAGGUGGGAUUAGCUAGUUGGUGAGGUAAUGGCUCACCAAGGCGACGAUCCCUAGCUGGUCUGAGAGGAUGAUCAGCCACACUGGAACUGAGACACGGGCCAGACUCCUACGGGAGGCAGCAGUGGGGAAUAUUGCACAAUGGGGGAAGCCCUGAUGCAGCCAUGCCGCGUGUGUGAAGAAGGCCUUCGGGUUGUAAAGCACUUUCAGCGAGGAGGAAAGGUUGAUGCCUAAUACGUAUCAACUGUGACGUUACUCGCAGAAGAAGCACCGGCUAACUCCGUGCCAGCAGCCGCCGUAA
Molecule: ribosomal RNA, 508 nt
Filed under: uncultured bacterium
Lineage: Bacteria
Description: partial 16S ribosomal RNA
Rfam family: Bacterial small subunit ribosomal RNA
Source: RNAcentral